Molecule: ribosomal RNA, 663 nt
Filed under: uncultured Bacilli bacterium
Lineage: Bacteria; Bacillati; Bacillota; Bacilli
Description: bacterial SSU rRNA
Rfam family: Bacterial small subunit ribosomal RNA
Source: RNAcentral
GAGAGCGACCGGUGCUUGCACUGGUCAAUCUAGUAGCGAACGGGUGAGUAACACGUGGGUAACCUGCCCAUCAGAGGGGGAUAACAUUCGGAAACGGAUGCUAAAACCGCAUAGGUUCUUGAGUCGCAUGAUUCGAGAAGGAAAAGAGGCUUCGGCUUCUGCUGAUGGAUGGACCCGCGGUGCAUUAGCUAGUUGGUGAGGUAACGGCUCACCAAGGCCGCGAUGCAUAGCCGACCUGAGAGGGUGAUCGGCCACAUUGGGACUGAGACACGGCCCAAACUCCUACGGGAGGCAGCAGUAGGGAAUCUUCCGCAAUGGACGCAAGUCUGACGGAGCAACGCCGCGUGAGUGAAGAAGGAUUUCGGUUCGUAAAACUCUGUUGUUAGAGAAGAACAGCGCAUAGAGUAACUGUUAUGCGUGUGACGGUAUCUAACCAGAAAGCCACGGCUAACUACGUGCCAGCAGCCGCGGUAAUACGUAGGUGGCAAGCGUUGUCCGGAUUUAUUGGGCGUAAAGCGAGCGCAGGCGGUCAAUUAAGUCUGAUGUGAAAGCCCCCGGCUCAACCGGGGAGGGUCAUUGGAAACUGGUUGACUUGAGUGCAGAAGAGGAGAGUGGAAUUCCAUGUGUAGCGGUGAAAUGCGUAGAUAUAUGGAGGAACACCAG